This is a non-coding RNA of Oryza glaberrima (African rice), 190 nucleotides long. Lineage: Eukaryota; Viridiplantae; Streptophyta; Magnoliopsida; Poales; Poaceae. The record is from Rfam.
UUUAAAUACAAACAUGAGUUUCCGUGCUUAACUUUAAUCGUCCGUCUUAUUCUGUUUUUAUAAUUAGUAUUUUAUUGUUAUGAGAAGAUAAAACAUAAAUAGUACUUUAUGCGUGAUUUAUGUAAAAAAUUUAAAAAUAAGACGGACGAUUAAAGUUGAGCACGGAAAAUCAUGGCUGGCUGCACUUAAA